GCAGCGCCAGAUGCUGCUUCACUCUCACUGGGUACUGAGAUCCAGGGAGGGAAACCACCUCCAUGGCACACAGCAAGGCAGGCGCCAACUCCCAGGCUUUUCCCGGGCUGCCCCUCCGAGCAGCACAGUGAGGACUCGAUUGGUCUGACAACUAGGCUAAAGGAAGUAACUCAGAGAAAGGCUGUCUUCAGUUACCUGGACAUUGAAGCUGCUCUGCCUUGAAGGAAAAGACGGCGUCUCUAGGGAUGAACUGAUGUUGGGCAGAGAAUUCGGAAAUGCUCCUGGCGCUGCAGGGCUGACUCCAAUCUGCUUUUCUACGAAGCCUCUAUCAUCUUAGCACCGUUAAAAGGGCAACUGUGGUCAGGGCUGCUGCGGAAAAGGGCUGAACCCAUGAGGCUCUGCGUUGGAGGCCGUCCCAGAGGAAGUGAUGGUGAACUGAUACGGAGGCACAGAUUCAGGCAACCCGACUUCAGAUGGCCAUGCAAGAAUGCCGAUCCCUUCCCUUGGCAGACGGCUCCAGCAAGCUCCUGGUUGUGCAGGGGAAUUUGGUUUUGUCCUACCUAAACCUGUCCCGGACAGCCAGCAAGAGACUGAGACCCAUAGGUCAAUGCCCACUGGCAGCAGGAAGAAGUUACAGAAGCCAGACCAUCGCCCUUCAACUUCCCAAAAGCUUUUGGGUCCCAGUGUCUUGAGGGGGGAUGUUAGAAUAGGUAGUUAGUUAGACAUGAGCUGGGGCAGGCGAAAGAGAGAAAGGGCGUAGAUUAUCUUUGUGCAUUCCUGUACGUCUAUAGGGCCUAAGGUAAAAUGUUUAAGCCAAAACAGAUUUCCCCAUACCUGGACUUAAGAUCAUCAGAUCUCUGAUUCACUCUCAGGAUGUUGUUCAGCCUCAUAGGUCACCAGUUCCAGUCGCCUAGCAGGUGCAUGGGUGGUUAAGCAAGAGGGGCGAGCUGAAGGGACAGGAGCAGAGAAGUCCAGGAAGGCAAAGCCCACAAAUACUGAGUUCUGUAACUGAUCAGGGCACUCUCACUCUGAGGUGCUCACUCAGGCCCGUCUGAGGAUAUUUCCGGACUGCCAAUAAACUCUUGCUUGCU
This is a long non-coding RNA of Eptesicus fuscus (big brown bat), 1091 nucleotides long. RefSeq lists it as uncharacterized. NCBI's taxonomy places the organism in Eukaryota, Metazoa, Chordata, Mammalia, Chiroptera, Vespertilionidae. The transcript is spliced from 4 exons. The record is from RefSeq and is a predicted model, not a curated record.